GAUUUCAGAGCACAAUAAAAGCAUUAGAAGAAAUGAAACAUUGCGCAGUAUAUUUCAGACAAACAAAUUGAUAUUUUAAAAAUAAAAUUAAAAGAAAUAUACCUUUGCCGUCUCCAACAGUCCAGUGGAAAAGUUCGCAAAGUAUAAUUAACCAACAGAAAUGAUGAACUGCAAAUACAAAUAUAGUCUAUGCCAAUAUCAGAAGUCAACUAUCUAUGUCUACAAUUUCAAUAUUGUAUUUACAGUUAACUGAAAAUUCAAAAACUGUAGUCUUAAUCAAAGGUCCAAAACUUGUUCUAGAAACUACCCUCUUUUUGUGACUUGUACAUACUGGCAAUUCACAAGAGAGCAAUUCAACAUCCAUGGUCCACUAUCCAAGGUAAAAAAGAAAAAUUUACCAAAUUCUUCUAGAUGAAGAAUAUGAAACGAGCAAAAGUAAGUUGAAUAUAAUUACCUUAGCUAUCCCAAUACCGAAUGUGAGAAAACUGGAUAAAACAUGGAAAAAAGCUAGAAAAAAUAUCAACAAUUGGAGUUGUUUGAAGCCCACUUUCGAAAUCGAAGAUAACUUAUCCUGUUCCACAAUUUCAAAAAUCAAUAAGAUGCUACUAAAAUUUGGAAUUGAUAAGUUAAUUAAUUAAUUCAUCAACCCUAAUUUACGUUCCAAGAACUCUUCCAUGCUACAUAAGUACCUGUUCUUCACAUUCGGAUUCCUCUUCUUCCUCACUCGUCAAGCUAUGGCAAGGAAGAAAAGAAUGAGCAACACCAUUGGGAAUACAUAUAUUUGCAAUUGGAUUUUCACAUACGGUCAGCAAUAAGGAGAUGAAGCCCAAAAGCUAUAAGUCUACAUGAUUGGGAAAUUCAAGGAUAAUAAGCAAUGUGAAUUUUUUAGCAUUACCAAGAAAAUUAACCAAUUAUAAAUUCAAUGGCAGGAAAAUGCAGGAUUCCUCAUAGGACUACUCAAAUCAUGUCUGUGCUCUAAUGUAAACUAAAUGAAAAGGAAGUUAAAAAAAAAAGAACUCAGAAAAUCAAAGCAAUCACUCGAAACGAACCCAAAAAAUAAAAAAAAGUUAAAUCCUACCAAAUCGAUUAAUGCAAAAAAUACACACACGAGAAACUCUAGAAAAUCGAAGCAAACACCCAAAACGAAACUUAACAAUUGUAUAAGCCCUACGAAAUCAGAAAUCCACCCAAAUUUAUCCCCUUGUUUCAACUGAACUAAUCUAAAAUCCCCAUUUGGAAGCUCAAUACUCAAAAGAAAAGAAAAAAAGAGAGAGAAGAUAUGGACUGGAUUCAGGAGAUUAUACCUUUCUUCUUCUUAUCAGUGUUUGGUUUCUUGUUGUGGAGAGACGAACUCGUCAAAAAGCGGACGUGUGAAAUGAGGGGGCAAAGAGAGAGCCACUUUUAUAUGAGAGAUAUUUUGUGAACAGUAACUAUUGCUAAACCAGUUCGAAAAAGUCAAGUGUGAAAAUGUGAAAUUUCCCCGUCCACAGAACAUUUG
Molecule: long non-coding RNA, 1498 nt
Filed under: Olea europaea (common olive)
Lineage: Eukaryota; Viridiplantae; Streptophyta; Magnoliopsida; Lamiales; Oleaceae
Description: long non-coding RNA (OEUR_LNC010088)
Source: RNAcentral